Molecule: long non-coding RNA, 2050 nt
Organism: Bombus pascuorum
Lineage: Eukaryota; Metazoa; Arthropoda; Insecta; Hymenoptera; Apidae
Exons: 3
Source: RefSeq, a predicted model, not a curated record
CUUUUAUUAUGGAAUCGUAUGUAACUAUAAGUUUCGGUGACAUGUCUUAGACUAUGCCAUGUAUUAAUCUCGUAGAAACGAGUUUUUCUAUUUUACAAUGACCAGAGUAACGUAAUGGUUUGGUAACUAUGAUUCGUUGAAAUCUGGAAGAAGAAACGAGUCAAAAAGAACAUGUUGGACGAUUCUUAUUAUGGAAUCUGACCAGAGUAACUAAAUGGUCUCAACUAUGAUUCGUUGAAAUUUGAAAGAAGAAACGAUUGAAGAAAAACAUGUCGGACUACUCUUAUUAUGGAAUCGAGUGACUGUAGGCGUCAGUGAUGUGGGUUAAACUGUACAUAGGAUGAAUGUUUUAGAGAUGAGUUUCCAAUAGCGACUACCGUAACGUAAUAACUUGCACUGUAAUGUAUCGAGGUCUGAAAGACGAAGUUAUCAAAAAUGAAUAUUUUAACUACCUUUAACCAUCGAUAAUCGAACGUGAAAAUAAAUUCAACGUUAUUUGUAACUGAGAAAUCUUUAUCCACUUUUUGUGCCGCUUAUCAGAUGAUUUUUUAAAUUUAAUUAUUUAUUUAUUUCUGUUCCGUUUACUACUCUACAAGGGACUUUAGGGAAAUUUCUAUGCAUACUGUAUAACGAUAAGCAAGUUCUCGUUAACAUUUUUAACAUGAACACGAACAUUUAUCGCGUUCUUAUACUUGACGUAACUGUUUCGCCUCCAAGGACGUGUAAAAUAUGGAGGAAAGUUGUCAAAGAGAAAGAAAAUAAAGCAGAAUAGAGUAAAAGCUAAGUGUAUGUGCACUAUGGUGUAGUAUUAUCGUAACGAAGAAUCCUCAGAAAGUUAGGGAAAAUCGUGAAAGCAGGAAAGUGGACGAAGCGGACGAAAAAACGUAAAAAUACUGCGAAAUGGGCGAAGAAGAAAUCUUCUUGGGACAGAAAUUGGGAAUCCCUCGGAAAGGGAUUUACCAAAAAAACACCAUCUUUGUAUAAAAACACCGAUCUUGGACGAGAGCAAUUGGAUUUCAGAACCGAAGCUACGGAAAUCAAAUCUGUUGGCUCGUCCAGUAUUCCCAAAUUCUCUUGUAGAAUAUUAAACGGAACAGAAAUAAAUAAAUAAUUAAAUUUAAAAACUCACCUGACAAGAAGCGGCACAAAGGCGCUAAAGAAAAAGUAGAUGAAAAUUUGCCAGUUGCAAAUGACGUUGAAUUUAUUUUCACGUUCGAUUAUCGAUCGUUAAAGCUAGUUAAAAAAUGUUAAUUCAUUCGUCGAUCUGUUUGUUGGGCUAGAUCCAUUGGAUAUGGAAAACAGAUUACUUUGAGAGUGUAAAGAACGACGGUAAUUAUUUUCUAUGCUGAAAAGAAAAAGAGUAAUCUACUUUCUAAUUAAUUUAUACAAAUCCUUCUUUUAAUUCCUUCUGAAUGUUCCCACAAAAUUGUCGAAUCGUAAUAAAAAUUCUUCCAACUCUCUUGAAAUUCUAAAUCGCAAGAAAUUUAUUGCAAGAAGUUCGUUGUUAAACGGGAAUUUAAGUUUCGAAGAACGUGGUAUAAACGUUAAAAUAUUUCACGCUCGAAUUAUACAGUUGAAAGUCGAUGACUUUUUGCUGGCGAAUAAAUCGAGAAAAAGAUUGGAAAUUAUAGACGGACUCUCGAUUACUGCCGAAACUAAUCGACGGUGAAGAAUAAGGAAGAUAAUAUUUCAAGCCGGACACUAAACCAACCUUCUACGUUUGCUCGUCGCUUUCUGUAAAUGGGAAAAGUAAAGAAGAUAAAUAAACGAGCUUCCUACGAGGAAACGUGACGAGCAGACGCCAAGAUAAACGUAGAUGAUCGCUCGAUAGCUGGCGAGGAACGAGCAGGAUGUAUAAGAACAUUUCUUGAAAAAAGGUUUCAUCCAACAAUCGAUAACUCGAUAUGUGUAGAUAUAUUUGAAGAAAUACUUAAUAACACGAAAUAAUUUAUACUUUGUUUCAACUUGAGCCUCAUCUGCUCAUAAAUUAGAAUAAUCAAUCGCAAGAAUAAAUCUUCAUAAAUCAGAAUAUAAUAUUUCUUAACAGUCA